Molecule: ribosomal RNA, 253 nt
Filed under: uncultured bacterium
Lineage: Bacteria
Description: partial 16S ribosomal RNA
Rfam family: Bacterial small subunit ribosomal RNA
Source: RNAcentral
UACGUAGGGGGCCAGCGUUGUCCGGAAUCAUUGGGCGUAAAGCGCGCGUAGGCGGUCAGGUAAGUCCGGUGUGAAAGUCAUAGGCUCAACCUAUGGAUGCCGCUGGAAACUGCCUGACUUGAGUCCGGGAGGGGCGAGUGGAAUUCCUGGUGUAGCGGUGAAAUGCGCAGAUAUCAGGAAGAACACCGACGGCGAAGGCAGCUCGCUGGGACGGUACUGACGCUGAGGCGCGAAAGCGUGGGGAGCGAACAGG